RNAcentral lists this long non-coding RNA (345 nucleotides) under Androctonus crassicauda. Lineage: Eukaryota; Metazoa; Arthropoda; Arachnida; Scorpiones; Buthidae. The record is from RNAcentral.
GGGGGACAGUUCUCACAAGAUAUGGUUGGUGACAUGCGGCCUGUGGCUUUGUCGAGCGCUUGGAAGUGGUGUGCUGUGAAUGAACUAUAGUUCUGGAUUGCCGCCUAGUUGCCGCGCCUCUUCGCCCUCCCCAUGGUGCCUUGCGCGAUGUAUAUGGCAUUCGUUUGUGUGAGUGUGGCCUCAUUUCGUAGUGUUUUUGCAUUGUUGUGUUUUGUAUUUUGUUGUUGUUUGUUGUUUUGUUGUAUUUCGCUUUGGUUUUGUUUUCUACCCAUGUCAUCGUUGUUGGUGAUUCUGUACGAUCUUGGAUUGCGUGUAUAUAUAUGUAUGUGUGUAUGUAGCGGCCGG